Molecule: ribosomal RNA, 715 nt
Filed under: uncultured Prevotella sp.
Lineage: Bacteria; Pseudomonadati; Bacteroidota; Bacteroidia; Bacteroidales; Prevotellaceae
Description: bacterial SSU rRNA
Rfam family: Bacterial small subunit ribosomal RNA
Source: RNAcentral
CCAGCCCACACAACAACACAACACACAACACCAUACACCCAAACACACACACACACAACACAACACACACACACAACACACACACAUCAUCCACACACCCCACACACACACACACAGCCACACCCACACACACACCCAGCUUUCACACAUUAUACGCAGCAGAUCCACUCCACCCCACAUCCACUUAUUGCAGCACAAGCCUCCACAGCCUUUGCCAGUCGCACACCGCGAGGGUGACACGGUCACAACUUGGCACUAACAUACACACCCAGACUUCCACGGGAGGCAGCAAGUGGGGAAAAUUGCACACAGGGCGAAAGCAUGAUGCACACACCCCGCAUCAGGGCAGACGGCCUUCGGGUUGUAAACCUCCUUCGAUCAUGGUCAAGCAGCAGCUUUGGGUUGUGGUGAGGGUAGUGGGUAAAGAAGCGCCGGCUAACUAAGUGCCAGCAGCCGCGGUAAUACGUAGGGCGCGAGCGUUGUCCGGAAUUAUUGGGCGUAAAGGGCUUGUAGGCGGUUGGUCGCGUUUGCCGUGAAAUACUCUGGCUUAACCGGGGGCGUGCGGUGGGUACGGGCUGACUUGAGUGCGGUAGGGGAGACUGGAACUCCUGGUGUAACGGUGGAAUGCGCAGAUAUCAGGAAGAACACCGGUGGCGAAGGCGGGUCUCUGGGCCGUUACUGACGCUGAGGAGCGAAAGCGUGGGGAGCGAACAGG